GUUGAUUGCACCAGAAGUGGUUAGCCGAACCUUUUAGGACGGCGAUCACCACGGUGUGGUUGAUGACUGGGGUGAAGUCGUAACAAGGUAGCCGUAGGUGAACCUGCAGAAGGAUCA
This 117-nucleotide ribosomal RNA is filed under the name uncultured eukaryote. RNAcentral describes it as "partial small subunit ribosomal RNA". It matches the Rfam family "Bacterial small subunit ribosomal RNA", at positions 1410 to 1525 of the family's 1533-position model. The record is from RNAcentral.